RNAcentral lists this unclassified non-coding RNA (1038 nucleotides) under Homo sapiens (human). RNAcentral's name for it is "discoidin domain receptor tyrosine kinase 1 (ENSG00000215522.11)". The record is from RNAcentral. Lineage: Eukaryota; Metazoa; Chordata; Mammalia; Primates; Hominidae.
UGCGUAAGGGACACCCUUUGCUGGUAGCUGUCAAGAUCUUACGGCCAGAUGCCACCAAGAAUGCCAGGAAUGAUUUCCUGAAAGAGGUGAAGAUCAUGUCGAGGCUCAAGGACCCAAACAUCAUUCGGCUGCUGGGCGUGUGUGUGCAGGACGACCCCCUCUGCAUGAUUACUGACUACAUGGAGAACGGCGACCUCAACCAGUUCCUCAGUGCCCACCAGCUGGAGGACAAGGCAGCCGAGGGGGCCCCUGGGGACGGGCAGGCUGCGCAGGGGCCCACCAUCAGCUACCCAAUGCUGCUGCAUGUGGCAGCCCAGAUCGCCUCCGGCAUGCGCUAUCUGGCCACACUCAACUUUGUACAUCGGGACCUGGCCACGCGGAACUGCCUAGUUGGGGAAAAUUUCACCAUCAAAAUCGCAGACUUUGGCAUGAGCCGGAACCUCUAUGCUGGGGACUAUUACCGUGUGCAGGGCCGGGCAGUGCUGCCCAUCCGCUGGAUGGCCUGGGAGUGCAUCCUCAUGGGGAAGUUCACGACUGCGAGUGACGUGUGGGCCUUUGGUGUGACCCUGUGGGAGGUGCUGAUGCUCUGUAGGGCCCAGCCCUUUGGGCAGCUCACCGACGAGCAGGUCAUCGAGAACGCGGGGGAGUUCUUCCGGGACCAGGGCCGGCAGGUCAGAGUGGAGGAGAGGGAAGAUGGGUCCGAGGCGGGGGACAGAAGGGGCAGAGUUGUCAUCUUGGAGACUAAAGAAUAUUUGUUCCCUGACUCUCAUCCACACUGCCACAAUGCAGGUGUACCUGUCCCGGCCGCCUGCCUGCCCGCAGGGCCUAUAUGAGCUGAUGCUUCGGUGCUGGAGCCGGGAGUCUGAGCAGCGACCACCCUUUUCCCAGCUGCAUCGGUUCCUGGCAGAGGAUGCACUCAACACGGUGUGAAUCACACAUCCAGCUGCCCCUCCCUCAGGGAGCGAUCCAGGGGAAGCCAGUGACACUAAAACAAGAGGACACAAUGGCACCUCUGCCCUUCCCCUCCCGACAGCCCAU